UUCUUUAUGGUUCAUAUUGAGCAAAUGGG
This 29-nucleotide non-coding RNA is filed under the name Rattus norvegicus (Norway rat). Lineage: Eukaryota; Metazoa; Chordata; Mammalia; Rodentia; Muridae. The record is from RNAcentral.